GGCGCCGUGGCCGAGUGGUUAGGCAGCGGUCUGCAAAACCGCGUACACCGGUUCAAAUCCGGUCGGUGCCUCCA
RNAcentral lists this transfer RNA (74 nucleotides) under Candidatus Saccharimonadota bacterium. RNAcentral describes it as "tRNA-Cys". It matches the Rfam family "tRNA". Rfam says of the family: Transfer RNA (tRNA) molecules are approximately 80 nucleotides in length. Their secondary structure includes four short double-helical elements and three loops (D, anti-codon, and T loops). Further hydrogen bonds mediate the characteristic L-shaped molecular structure. tRNAs have two regions of fundamental functional importance: the anti-codon, which is responsible for specific mRNA codon recognition, and the 3' end, to which the tRNAs corresponding amino acid is attached (by aminoacyl-tRNA synthetases). tRNAs cope with the degeneracy of the genetic code in two manners: having more than one tRNA (with a specific anti-codon) for a particular amino acid; and 'wobble' base-pairing, i.e. permitting non-standard base-pairing at the 3rd anti-codon position. Lineage: Bacteria; Candidatus Saccharimonadota. RNAcentral also lists the same sequence under 1 other name. The record is from RNAcentral.